RNAcentral lists this transfer-messenger RNA (369 nucleotides) under Gracilimonas mengyeensis. Its description in RNAcentral is "Standard tmRNA". It matches the Rfam family "transfer-messenger RNA". Rfam says of the family: Bacterial tmRNA, also known as 10Sa RNA or SsrA, is named for its dual tRNA and mRNA-like properties. Lineage: Bacteria; Pseudomonadati; Balneolota; Balneolia; Balneolales; Balneolaceae. The record is from Rfam by way of RNAcentral.
GGGGGUGUUCUGGAUUCGACGGGUUGAGUAUUACCGUUGGUUGCGUGUCGAGAUUGUCCAAUGGAUCUCGUAAUAACAUCCAUUAUGGAUCAAAAGUAAUUGACAAUAAUUACUCUUACCGCUUAGCAGCAUAAACUGACUAAGCCGUCCCGCUGGUUAAGUGCCUGUCAUUGCCAGCCUGGACGUCAUACAAGACAGGAUAGCGUAAGCGUGCUUUCUGUCGCGUUUACGUAAAACUUUAACAGAAUAGUCUGAAGUCGCUUAGGUACUGGGCUCGGCUUUAGGCGAAAUUCCAAUCAGUACCUACACAUGUAGAUGCUAACAGGUCUACCUUCCCGGACCGGGGUUCGACUCCCCGCACCUCCACAA